UAAGACGAAGGAUGCAAGCGUUAUCCGGAUUCAUUGGGUUUAAAGGGAGCGUAGGCGGACUGAUAAGUCAGUGGUGAAAUCUUUGGGCUUAACCCAGAAACUGCCAUUGAUACUGUUAGUCUAGAGUACAGUUGCCGUUGGCGGAAUAUGACAUGUAGUGGUGAAAUACUUAGAUAUGUCAUAGAACACCGAUUGCGAAGGCAGCUAACGAAGCUGUAACUGACGCUGAGGCUCGAAAGUGCGGGGAUCAAACAGGAUUAGAUACCCUGGUAGUCCGCACUGUAAACGAUGAUUACUCGUUGCUGGAAGGUAACUUUCAGUGACCAAGCGAAAGCGAUAAGUAAUCCACCUGGGGAGUACGCCGGCAACGGUGAAACUCAAAUGAAUUGACGG
This 393-nucleotide ribosomal RNA is filed under the name uncultured bacterium. RNAcentral's name for it is "bacterial SSU rRNA". It matches the Rfam family "Bacterial small subunit ribosomal RNA", at positions 521 to 916 of the family's 1533-position model. The record is from RNAcentral.